AUGAACGUUGGCGGCGUGGAUUAGGCAUGCAAGUCGAGCGCUCAUCAGCAAUGGUGGGAGCGGCGAACGGCGUAGUAAUUCAUAGGAACGUACCCUCAGGACGGGGAUAGCUACGGGAAACUGUAGGUAAUACCCGAUAACCUCCGCGGAGCAAAGGUGUGAUUCCGCCUGGGGAGCGGCUUAUGCGAUAUUAGCUAGUUGGUGGGGUAAUGGCCUACCAAGGCAAAGAUGUCUAGGGGGUGUGAGAGCAUGGCCCCCACGACCGGAACUGAGAUACUGUCCGGACACCUACGGGUGGCUGCAGUCGAGAAUCUUCCGCAAUGGACGAAAGUCUGACGGAGCGACGCCGCGUGCGGGAUGAAGGCCCUUGGGUUGUAAACCGCUGUCAGAGGGGAUGAAAUCUUCGGAGGUACUCCUCCGAAGUUGACAGAGCCUCAAAGGAAGCACGGGCUAAGUACGU
RNAcentral lists this ribosomal RNA (460 nucleotides) under uncultured bacterium. RNAcentral describes it as "bacterial SSU rRNA". It matches the Rfam family "Bacterial small subunit ribosomal RNA", at positions 29 to 506 of the family's 1533-position model. The record is from RNAcentral.